This is a long non-coding RNA of Capsicum annuum, 1008 nucleotides long. RefSeq lists it as uncharacterized. The transcript has 2 exons. The record is from RefSeq and is a predicted model, not a curated record. NCBI's taxonomy places the organism in Eukaryota, Viridiplantae, Streptophyta, Magnoliopsida, Solanales, Solanaceae.
ACUAACAACCAUGGGGUGGGUGAAAUGUGUACCUACUAGACUGGCCCAAAUAAACUAAAAACUAAAAAGAGAAAAUCUUUUUGUAAUUUUUUCAAAUUUACUUAAAAAAUAGAAAAAUAACUAAGACUCUCAGCACAUUUUAGCAAAGAAGCUAACAUGCACAUAUACUGAAAAACCACGGCCCAAUCGAAAAAUAUCUUUGGCUCACCGGAAAAGUUGGUUACUCCCUAGGAUGGUUCUAGUAUUACACUUCCAUCAAUUACUUUUGGCACUUACCUUCCCCAAAAUUUCAAUCCAUUCUAGAAGAGGCUGUAGAUGGAUCAACAACUACUGACUUCCAAAAGUCGUUGCACCUACGCAACUACGAUGACUCAACUGCCCUCAGUAAAUCGGCAACUCCAACUCUCGAAGACAACAACUUCUGCUCACACCCCUCCAGAGGAAAUCAUGUUAUGGAUGCUAAGUUCACGAAAAAGGUGAAAAUGUGUUUUUGGCUACUAUUUGGAGUAAUUAUGGAUGUUUGGGACACUUUUCAACUUGUUCAUUAUCAAAGCAUGUUUGAGAAUUAAAGAAAAGCUAAAAAAAAAAAUGACUCCCGAUACCUACUAAGUCAACCUACAGACCGCAAGUAGGACCUACGGACCGUAGGUAGGCAAAGAAAGUGCUAGAAGUCCAAAAUUCCAAGAGAUGAAUUUGCAGGAAUUUUCCACCCACUACCUGCGCCCUGUACCUGCACCUAGGGUCAAGACUGCAGAUACUAUCUGCGCUCGAGUUCUGAGCGCAGGUACAGACCACAUGUGGCCACUAACCUAGUUUUGUCCUAUUUCAUUUGGUCUUUUGUUUUAGGGUUUUCUCAUGUACUAUAAAUAUCCUUUAUGUGUUUAUAGUAGGAGUAAUCCACUUUUGAUACUCACACACAUAUUUUGAUUCCAAGAUCCAAUUUUGAUCUUAGGAUUCUGUUGUAUUGACUUUGGUUCAUUAAUUCAAUUACGAUUGUGGGUUUUUGUA